GACACAGGGAGGUAGUGACAAGAAAUAACAAUACAGGGCUACUGUCUUGUAAUUGGAAUGAUGGUGACUUAAACCCUCACCAGAGUACCAAUUGGAGGGCAAGUCUGGUGCCAGCAGCCGCGGUAAUUCCAGCUCCAAUAGCGUAUAUUAAACUUGUUGCAGUUAAAAAGCUCGUAGUUGAAUUUCAGCGUUUCGCGUGUGCCUCUUUUGGCCCAUCUCGUCUCGCUUUUUUUAUUACUUUGAGAAAAUUAGAGUGUUUCAAGCAGGCUUUUGUCUUGAAUACUUGAGCAUGGAAUAAUAGAGUAGGACCUUGGUUCUAUUUUGUUGGUUUUGUUACCUUGGUAAUGGUUAAUAGGAACGGUUGGGGGCAUUCGUAUUUAACUGUCAGAGGUGAAACUCUUAG
This 403-nucleotide ribosomal RNA is filed under the name Babesia occultans. RNAcentral's name for it is "SSU rRNA". It matches the Rfam family "Eukaryotic small subunit ribosomal RNA", at positions 453 to 923 of the family's 1831-position model. The record is from RNAcentral. Lineage: Eukaryota; Apicomplexa; Aconoidasida; Piroplasmida; Babesiidae.